Molecule: long non-coding RNA, 664 nt
Filed under: Struthio camelus australis
Lineage: Eukaryota; Metazoa; Chordata; Aves; Struthioniformes; Struthionidae
Description: lncRNA (ENSSCUG00000002544.1)
Source: RNAcentral
CCUCUGCCGCGCUUACGCGCAGUGCUGGCUGCUGUCCUCCCGCCUCACCGCCCGUUCCCCAGUUGCGCUGAGCGGGAAUGCUCGAGCCGUUUUAAGAAAAUGAAUGCAAAAGUUUAGAAAGUGGAGAGACCAGCACAGGGCCAAAAUAUUUUCCGGCUACAAGGGGUCAAGGCAGAAACUACACUGGUCACUCCUCUAAGCCACAGCUCAUCAGUGCGGCCAACCGUUACAUUACAGCGUUGUUUGGAUUUGCGCGAGGACACCCUUUUCACAAAAACUGGUGUGGAGGAAAAGGGGCAUUUCAGUUCGAAAAAUUCUCCUGAUGAUGCUCAGUGUCGCAUUCCUAGAGGCAGGCCCGAGGGGAAGCUUCCCUGGGUAGCUGCAGAGCAUACAAUACUUUUUAAAAGAAGGAAGAAAUUAAUAUUCCAAGCUUUAACAUUUUCGCAUUUGGCACAGUCUUUCACAUUGACAUUUGUUAAACAAUGCACCAGUACGUUUUUCAAAAAGCCCAUAAAAGCAGAAGUAAUUUUCGAAGUACCUAUUGGAAGGUGCCGAACAAGACUUGUAAACUGUGAAGUAACUACUAUGGAAAAGAUUAAGUAAAGCAUUGGAGGCGGAUGAUUUUGACAAUAAAGAGGGUGUAUGUGGUGAGUGUUUAAUAUUU